CUAUUUUCACCUGACGGUAACACGUGAAAAUUUUCACUUGACAGCGCUGUGCAAUGAAGAAUGUUUAGAAAAAAGUAAAUAACUAAACAUGAUUACUUAAACAAUUUGGGUAUUUAUAAAUAGAGCUGAAAUGCAGGACAGUGCUUGGAAAGUGGAACGUCAGGUGCCCCACUUUCUGAACCGAAAGCAGCUACAUAAUUGAUACACAACACAAUUUGCUGACCUUUAUGUGCUGAACAUCCAAUCGGAGUGCUCUCCUUCACUAUUGACUGACAUCGAUUCUACAUGCUGAAUAGUACAACCUCCCAACAUGAGCCUGACGAGAGGUGACGUGUGGAACACACCAAACAAACAGAUGCUCACCGAAAGCUUGGAUGUUGGCUAAG
Molecule: long non-coding RNA, 386 nt
Filed under: Danio rerio (zebrafish)
Lineage: Eukaryota; Metazoa; Chordata; Actinopteri; Cypriniformes; Danionidae
Description: lncRNA si:ch211-248a16.3 (ENSDARG00000097146.2)
Source: RNAcentral